This 373-nucleotide ribosomal RNA is filed under the name uncultured organism. RNAcentral describes it as "partial 16S ribosomal RNA". It matches the Rfam family "Bacterial small subunit ribosomal RNA", at positions 527 to 897 of the family's 1533-position model. The record is from RNAcentral.
GUAGGUGGCAAGCGUUGUCCGGAAUUAUUGGGGCGUAAAGCGCGCGCAGGCGGUUCUUUAAGUCUGAUGUGAAAGCCCCAGGCUCAACCGUGGAGGGUCAUUGGAAACUGGGGAACUUGAGUACAGAAGAGGAAAGCGGAAUUCCACGUGUAGCGGUGAAAUGCGUAGAGAUGUGGAGGAACACCAGUGGCGAAGGCGGCUUUCUGGUCUGUAACUGACGCUGAGGCGCGAAAGCGUGGGGAGCAAACAGGACUAGAUACCCUGGUAGUCCACGCCGUAAACGAUGAGUGCUAAGUGUUAGGGGUUUCCGCCCCUUAGUGCUGCAGCUAACGCAUUAAGCACUCCGCCUGGGGAGUACGGCCGCAAAGGCUGA